CCUACGGGCGGCAGCAGUGGGGAAUAUUGGACAAUGGGGGGAACCCUGAUCCAGCGACGCCGCGUGAGUGCAGAAGUAUUUCGGUAUGUAAAGCUCUAUCAGCAGGGAAGAAAGAAAUGACGGUACCUGACUAAGAAGCCCCGGCUAACUACGUGCCAGCAGCCGCGGUAAUACGUAGGGGGCAAGCGUUAGCCGGAUUUACUGGGUGUAAAGGGAGCGUAGACGGCGAUGCAAGUCUGAAGUGAAAGGCGGGGGGCCAACCCCCGGACUGCUUUGGAAACUGUAUGGCUGGAGUGCAGGAGAGGUAAGUGGAAUUCCUAGUGUAGCGGUGAAAUGCGUAGAUAUUAGGAGGAACACCAGUGGCGAAGGCGGCUUACUGGACUGUAACGGACGUUGAGGCUCGAAAGCGUGGGGAGCAAACAGGAUUAGAUACCCUAGUAGUC
RNAcentral lists this ribosomal RNA (443 nucleotides) under uncultured bacterium. Its description in RNAcentral is "partial 16S ribosomal RNA". It matches the Rfam family "Bacterial small subunit ribosomal RNA", at positions 338 to 795 of the family's 1533-position model. The record is from RNAcentral.